RNAcentral lists this unclassified non-coding RNA (850 nucleotides) under Isoetes sinensis. Its description in RNAcentral is "partial atpB-rbcL intergenic spacer". The record is from RNAcentral. Lineage: Eukaryota; Viridiplantae; Streptophyta; Lycopodiopsida; Isoetales; Isoetaceae.
CCAAUAGUAUUAAAUUUUUUUGCUGAUUUUACUGAUAAAGAUCCUUGGUAUCAAGUCGAUCGGUUAAUAAUGAAUGAAUAAAGUUACACUUACAUCUCGCCUUACCUAUUCACAUUCAAUAUAAAUUAGUCAAUUUCUAUUCUAGCUCAUACUCCCAAUAUGUGUAAGAGAGUUCUUUCUAUUCUAUUCUAUUCUUAGGUGAAAAUGAAGGACUUUCACGGAAUUCUAUGUAGAAUGGGAAUUUAGAUCAUGAAUACUAAUUAGCUCUUUUCUUUUUUUUUUUUUCUCAUUUGAAAAUUGAAUACUUUAAUUUCUUUCUAUUCUCAUCAACCAACCAGUUUAACACUUAAGAGGUUCCGGGUCAAUCUGGGUAAGACUCAGGAAGAAACUUGAACAGAAUCUGUACCUCCUAUAUCAAAAGUAUUUUCUUCCAGGUUAUGAAUAAUAAAUUAAUUGGGCAUUAUCCUUUGUUUCCGGGGGUAUAUCAUUGGUGUAAGUGGUGCAGAAAGGAUUCUCCUUUCAUUCUCUCUCCUCAAAAAGUAAUUGAUAUCUACUCUACGCAAAUAUUUGUUUGGAAACAAAUGUUUCAGCUUUGUUCGAAGAAGAAAAAAAAAAAAAAGACUUACUAAGAUCUCACUAAUAUUAAAGCAACUAGGUUGCAUCACAUAUCAAGAAUAAUAUACAAUGGUAGUGUUUCACCAUCGGGGAAGUAUCUCCGCCCGAAGAUAGGCAAGUAUAGUAGGACGGAUAUUCUAUUCAUCGUCUUGCAAAAAUUUUGAGUAUUUGUCGAGCAGACCUUAUCCUUGCAAGAGUUAUCAAUUGAAUUGUAGGGAGGGACCCACGUCACCAC